AUUGAACGCUGGCGGCAUGCCUUACACAUGCAAGUCGAACGGCAGCGGACCUUCGGGUGCCGGCGAGUGGCGAACGGGUGAGUAAUAUAUCGGAACGUACCUUUCAGUGGGGGAUAACGUAGCGAAAGUUACGCUAAUACCGCAUAUUCUGUGAGCAGGAAAGCAGGGGAUCGCAAGACCCUACGCUGAUUGAGCGGCCGAUAUCAGAUUAGCUAGUUGGUGAGGUAAAGGCUCACCAAGGCGACGAUCUGUAGCGGGUCUGAGAGGAUGAUCCGCCACACUGGAACUGAGACACGGUCCAGACUCCUACGGGAGGCAGCAGUGGGGAAUUUUGGACAAUGGGCGCAAGCCUGAUCCAGCCAUGCCGCGUGAGUGAAGAAGGCCUCGGUUGUAA
RNAcentral lists this ribosomal RNA (394 nucleotides) under uncultured bacterium. RNAcentral describes it as "bacterial SSU rRNA". It matches the Rfam family "Bacterial small subunit ribosomal RNA", at positions 30 to 428 of the family's 1533-position model. The record is from RNAcentral.